GGACUACCCGGGUAUCUAAUCCUGUUUGCUACCCACGCUUUCGUAGUUGAGUGUCAGUUGCUGUCCAGUCCGCCGCCUUCGCCUCUGGUAUUCCUCCCGAUCUCUACGCAUUUCACCGCUACACCGGGAAUUCUGCGGACCUCUCCAGCACUCUAGUAAUAAAGUUUCCAAGGCACGUCCUGAGUUGAGCUCAGGGAUUUCACCCCAGACUUUUAUUACCACCUACCUACCCUUUACGCCCAAUAAUUCCGAGCAACGCUUGCACCCUUCGUAUUACCGCGGCGGCUGGCAC
This 292-nucleotide ribosomal RNA is filed under the name uncultured bacterium. RNAcentral's name for it is "partial 16S ribosomal RNA". The record is from RNAcentral.